Molecule: long non-coding RNA, 933 nt
Filed under: Zea mays
Lineage: Eukaryota; Viridiplantae; Streptophyta; Magnoliopsida; Poales; Poaceae
Description: long non-coding RNA (ZMAY_LNC005585)
Source: RNAcentral
GAGCCCACGCAUGCCGGGGCUCAGGAGACACCGCGGCUCCGAUGCGCUCAUCUUUGCCUGCUUGCGUGAGUGCGUGCGUACGACCUUAUUCACAGGAUUCGGGUUAAUUCAAUACUACAAUGUGAUGAGAAGAGACCAUUUCCAAGGGAAAAAAUACAUGUGAAGUUAGCCCCGUUGACAAUUCAGGGGUGUUUAUGAAUGAAGUUUUUUCACAGUUUUGAAAAAAUACUGCAGUAAUAUAUAUAAAAUGAUGUUUGGCAAGCUAGCUAAAAUCUUUAUUUUCAAAACUGAAGUAUUGCAAAAAAAACUGUAGAUGUUUUAAGGUAUUAUAAACUUAGGUAUGUGCCUCAAUUUUUAAACUGUAGUAUUUUAAAUUGUGUUAUUGUCUUGACUAAAGUACGUUGUAGUAUUUCAAAUACUAUCGUUUUCAAAAAACUUUGUUCCAAAACAGGGCCUCAUUAUAUGCGUGAUUGGUUGGUGAGUGCAGGAGCGCUUGGCUCAAGCCAGUAUGGACCAGCAGAGAACCUCGCUCUUCCUCGUCUCCGAUAUGCAGGCUGGAAGGGAGAAAAUGGACUGGGUUGCACGCAUGCAGGCGGGCUCGUUUCCUCGUGUCCAGUCAACGUAUCUGGUGGGCCUGGACGUCGGUGGCGCAGCAACCCAUCACAAGUUAUAGGUCCAUGUUGUUUGACCUAUUUUACUUUUAUAUGAGAAAACUGUGGGCAUAUCACUUUUCUUGGCCACUCAAGACGAAACUCGCUGAUGCACGUAGCACUUUGAUACAAAUGGUGCAUAUAUUAUACUCCCUCCGUAGUCGUUUUAAGUCUUAGUUUUAUGUCUAUAUUUAAAUAGUUAAAGAUGAAGCUAGACACAUACAAAAUACAUGCAUCAAAAAUUGUAUGAACCCACUAAUUUCCCUAAAACGACUACUAUUUU